AGUGAACGCUGGCGGUAGGCCUAACACAUGCAAGUCGAACGGCAGCACAGUAAGAGCUUGCUCUUACGGGUGGCGAGUGGCGGACGGGUGAGGAAUACAUCGGAAUCUACUUUUUCGUGGGGGAUAACGUAGGGAAACUUACGCUAAUACCGCAUACGACCUACGGGGGAAAGCAGGGGAUCUUCGGACCUUGCGCGAUAGAAUGAGCCGAUGUCGGAUUAGCUAGUUGGCGGGGUAAAGGCCCACCAAGGCGACGAUCCGUAGCUGGUUUGAGAGGAUGUUCAGCCACCCUGGAACGGAGACACGGUCCAGACUCCUACGGGGGGCACCAGUGGGGAAUAUUGGACAAUGGGCGCAAGCCUGAUCCAGCCAGACCGCGUGGGUGAAGAAGGCCUUCGGGUUGUAAAGCCCUUUUGUUGGGAAAGAAAAGCAGCAGGUUAAUACCCCGCUGUUCUGACGGUACCCAAAGAAUAAGCACCGGCUAACUUCGUG
RNAcentral lists this ribosomal RNA (492 nucleotides) under uncultured bacterium. RNAcentral's name for it is "partial 16S ribosomal RNA". It matches the Rfam family "Bacterial small subunit ribosomal RNA", at positions 29 to 507 of the family's 1533-position model. The record is from RNAcentral.